This 1231-nucleotide ribosomal RNA is filed under the name metagenome. RNAcentral's name for it is "bacterial SSU rRNA". It matches the Rfam family "Bacterial small subunit ribosomal RNA", at positions 272 to 1498 of the family's 1533-position model. The record is from RNAcentral.
GGCGACGAUCUGUAGCGGGUCUGAGAGGAUGAUCCGCCACACUGGAACUGAGACACGGUCCAGACUCCUACGGGAGGCAGCAGUGGGGAAUUUUGGACAAUGGGGGCAACCCUGAUCCAGCCAUGCCGCGUGAGUGAAGAAGGCCUUCGCGUUGUAAAGCUCUUUCAGCCGGGAAGAAAACGCAUGGGUUAUUACCCUGUGUGGAUGACGGUACCGGAAUAAGAAGCACCGGCUAACUACGUGCCAGCAGCCGCGGUAAUACGUAGGGUGCGAGCGUUAAUCGGAAUUACUGGGCGUAAAGCGUGCGCAGGCGGUUUUGUAAGACAGGCGUGAAAUCCCCGGGCUUAACCUGGGAACUGCGUUUGUGACUGCAAGGCUAGAGUACGGCAGAGGGGGGUGGAAUUCCACGUGUAGCAGUGAAAUGCGUAGAGAUGUGGAGGAACACCAAUGGCGAAGGCAGCCCCCUGGGUCGAUACUGACGCUCAUGCACGAAAGCGUGGGUAGCAAACAGGAUUAGAUACCCUGGUAGUCCACGCCCUAAACGAUGUCAACUAGGUGUUGGGAGGGUAAGACCUUUUAGUACCGGAGCUAACGCGUGAAGUUGACCGCCUGGGGAGUACGGCCGCAAGGUUAAAACUCAAAGGAAUUGACGGGGACCCGCACAAGCGGUGGAUGAUGUGGAUUUCGAUGCAACGCGAAAAACCUUACCUACCCUUGACAUGCCAAGAACUUUCCAGAGAUGGAUUGGUGCCCGAAAGGGAACUUGGACACAGGUGCUGCAUGGCUGUCGUCAGCUCGUGUCGUGAGAUGUUGGGUUAAGUCCCGCAACGAGCGCAACCCUUGUCGUUAAUUGCCAUCAUUUAGUUGGGCACUUUAACGAGACUGCCGGUGACAAACCGGAGGAAGGUGGGGAUGACGUCAAGUCCUCAUGGCCCUUAUGGGUAGGGCUUCACACGUCAUACAAUGGUCGGUACAUAGGGUCGCCAAGCCGCGAGGUGGAGCCAAUCCCAGAAAGCCGAUCGUAGUCCGGAUCGCAGUCUGCAACUCGACUGCGUGAAGUCGGAAUCGCUAGUAAUCGUGGAUCAGCAUGUCACGGUGAAUACGUUCCCGGGUCUUGUACACACCGCCCGUCACACCAUGGGAGCGGGUUCCGCCAGAAGUAGGUAGCCUAACCGCAAGGAGGGCGCUUACCACGGCGGGGUUCGUGACUGGGGUGAAGUCGAACAAGGUA